AUUCUCUCAUCUUCCUCGGGACUUGCACACUUCUCUACGAGAUCCCUGGCUUCCCUCUAUCUCUCUAGCCAUGGCUGGCUUUCACUUAUACCUUGUCCUCCGGUUUUCUCUCCAUGCGGAAUCGAGAAUCGUAUCCUUACAAUCGGCUUCACUCACUGCUCGACCGAUGUUCACCUUGUUACCGAAAUCAGGAGGAUUGAGAAUCCGUCUUUCUCACUCUCUGACUUCGUCGACCUCGAUUAAUCCUAGGGUUUCUCGAUUAUGAUGUCAUCUGUGAAGCUCAGGAAACUACUUGGUUCUCGCUCUCUGCCAUAUAACUCUUCUUGUUCGAUUUUGUUUGAUUUACUUGGUUCUCGGUUUCUUAUGGGCUUGAUUCGUACUUGGGUUGAUUUUGAUUUUGAUAAGUUUUGUAUGAACUGAUAUCGUGUUGUUGAUUGAUUGGUGUUGAUUCUGUUUCUCUAAGUCUUAAGAACUGUUUGACGUAUCUCGCCAAGUUCUUUGCUUAUUAAAUUUCAGCUCAUAUUGAUAUAGUCUCUGAUACUUUGGUCUUAAUAUUGUGUUUGAAUGAUUACUUAAGGCAACGAAUCACAUUUUCAAUUAUUAAUAUAUUUCGUUCGUAUCAAUCCUUAGUUGGAUUAUAUGUGUGUUUGCUUCGAAUUGAAUGUUACUUGCGAAUAAAUAUUGCUUCUGUUCUUGCUGGAUUGAUCUGAAGAUUUUGGUUGUUGAAAAUCCGAAUGGUUUUGGUAGAUGCUAGGGUGAAUUUUGAUCAAGUUAUGUUUAUGAGACUUUAGGGUUCUUGGGACUUGGUUUUUAUUAGGGAUGUGAGGUUUUGCUUUGUAUUAAGAGCUCUGUUGGAUCACUGGUAUUCAUGAGAUUUAUUUUUGUUUCUGGAACAGGAACUUGAAACUUAGAACUCACCCAAACCAGAAGUGCCUUCAUCAUCAUGUAGGAAGUGGGACAAGGAUGAAAGUGCCACUUUCUUUGAAAAGCCGAAGAAGCACCUGGAUGAACACAUGACUUGUUUCAAAACCACCAUGAACAAGCCUAAGCAAAUUCAUGAGAUCAAGGACUUGCUUCCGACAGCAAGAAGGAGAGAUGCUCGAUCUGUGACGAUGAUGAGAAGCAAAUGGAACUAUUUAAUGGAAUUAA
Molecule: long non-coding RNA, 1149 nt
Organism: Arabidopsis lyrata subsp. lyrata
Lineage: Eukaryota; Viridiplantae; Streptophyta; Magnoliopsida; Brassicales; Brassicaceae
Exons: 2
Source: RefSeq, a predicted model, not a curated record